AGAGUUUGAUCCUGGCUCAGAUUGAACGCUGGCGGCAGGCUUAACACAUGCAAGUCGAACGGUAACAUGAAGAAGCUUGCUUCUUUGAUGACGAGUGGCGGACGGGUGAGUAAUGCUUGGGAAUCUAGCUUAUGGAGGGGGAUAACUACGGGAAACUGUAGCUAAUACCGCGUAGAAUUGAGAGAUGAAAGUGUGGGACCUUCGGGCCACAUGCCAUAGGAUGAGCCCAAGUGGGAUUAGGUAGUUGGUGAGGUAAAGGCUCACCAAGCCGACGAUCUCUAGCUGGUCUGAGAGGAUGACCAGCCACACUGGGACUGAGACACGGCCCAGACUCCUACGGGAGGCAGCAGUGGGGAAUAUUGCGCAAUGGGGGCAACCCUGACGCAGCCAUGCCGCGUGAAUGAAGAAGGCCUUCGGGUUGUAAAGUUCUUUCGGUAGCGAGGAAGGCAUUUAGUUUAAUAGACUAGGUGAUUGACGUUAACUACAGAAGAAGCACCGGCUAACUCCGUGCCAGCAGCCGCGGU
This 524-nucleotide ribosomal RNA is filed under the name uncultured Gammaproteobacteria bacterium. RNAcentral describes it as "bacterial SSU rRNA". It matches the Rfam family "Bacterial small subunit ribosomal RNA", at positions 8 to 521 of the family's 1533-position model. The record is from RNAcentral. Lineage: Bacteria; Pseudomonadati; Pseudomonadota; Gammaproteobacteria.